Molecule: ribosomal RNA, 197 nt
Filed under: uncultured bacterium
Lineage: Bacteria
Description: partial 16S ribosomal RNA
Rfam family: Bacterial small subunit ribosomal RNA
Source: RNAcentral
ACGCUCGACACCUACGGGGGCAGCAGUGGGGAAUAUUGCACAAUGGGGGAAACCCUGAUGCAGCGACGCCGCGUGAAGGAUGAAGUAUUUCGGUAUGUAAACUUCUAUCAGCAGGGAAGAAAGUGACGGUACCUGACUAAGAAGCCCCGGCUAACUACGUGUCAGCAGCCGCGGUAAUCUGAGCGGGCUGGCAAGGC